UAUGGCUAUAUUUUUUGAAUAUGUGUAUGUGAUAUGCAUAUUUGUCUCUUCUAAAUAAAAGUUAGAGACAGAAGAGUAAAAAAAUGAAAAAAAAAAACAUAAAAAGAAAAAAAAUGAAGAAAAGAGAAAUGAAAAAAAAGGAAGAAAGAGAAAUAGAAGUGUAAAGAAAAAGAAAAUAAACAAACAAAAUAAAAUAGAAAAAAGAAGAAAACGAAAAUAGAAAAAAAAGAUAUG
This 234-nucleotide long non-coding RNA is filed under the name Capsicum annuum. Its description in RNAcentral is "long non-coding RNA (CANN_LNC013914)". Lineage: Eukaryota; Viridiplantae; Streptophyta; Magnoliopsida; Solanales; Solanaceae. The record is from RNAcentral.